Molecule: ribosomal RNA, 395 nt
Filed under: uncultured bacterium
Lineage: Bacteria
Description: partial 16S ribosomal RNA
Rfam family: Bacterial small subunit ribosomal RNA
Source: RNAcentral
AUACGUAGGGUGCAAGCGUUAAUCGGAAUUACUGGGCGUAAAGCGUGCGCAGGCGGUUUUGUAAGACAGAGGGGAAAUCCCCGGGCUCAACCUGGGAACUGCCUUUGUGACUGCAAGGCUAGAGUACGGCAGAGGGGGAUGGAAUUCCGCGGGGAGCAGGGAAAUGCGUAGAUAUGCGGAGGAACACCGAUGGCGAAGGCAAUCCCCUGGGCCUGUACUGACGCUCAUGCACGAAAGCGUGGGGAGCAAACAGGAUUAGAUACCCUGGUAGUCCACGCCCUAAACGAUGUCAACUGGUUGUUGGGUCUUCAUUGACUCAGUAACGAAGCUAACGCGUGAAGUUGACCGCCUGGGGAGUACGGCCGCAAGGUUGAAACUCAAAUGAAUUGACGGGG